UUGGACAUCGCAACCUCCAGUAUGCCAGGAGACUUGAGCUAGUGGGUUAUGAAGCAUUAUGACCCUGAAAGAUCACAGCUGGUCAUCCCGAAGAGGGGCAGGAUUCCAGUUGAUGCAGCUAGUGUUCAUAGGAUAUGGGGUCUGCCAAACAGGGGGAGGAAGGUGUGCUAAGAGAAUAGAGCAGAAUACACAACUCCAAUGAAUGCAAUCUUGAAGAUUACUACCAAAGGUCCACCAUCACUGACAUCAUGGUGCAAAAUGAUUAAGGACAUGGCUGGGGCAGCAGAUGACAAUUUCUUGCGUGCUUGGUUGGCAGUUGCUUUCUUAUGUUUCCUUGCUCCUACAACAAGUUUGAACAUAUCACCAUGGUGCUAUCCUGCUGUGAUGCAUGUGGAUGCAAUAACAGAGACCAAUGUGUGCCAAUUUGUAGUUGAUCAACUAAAGUUGGCAUUCGCGGGGGCAAGUGAUAAGAAGGCAGUGUGCUGUUGUGUAAUGCACUUAGUUGUAAGUGCAACUUGUUCUUUCCCCUUUUUCUGUUAUCGUCUUGUUAUAUAA
This 555-nucleotide ribosomal RNA is filed under the name Triticum aestivum (bread wheat). Its description in RNAcentral is "partial small subunit ribosomal RNA". Lineage: Eukaryota; Viridiplantae; Streptophyta; Magnoliopsida; Poales; Poaceae. The record is from RNAcentral.